Long non-coding RNA from Malaclemys terrapin pileata, 1405 nucleotides. RefSeq lists it as uncharacterized. Lineage: Eukaryota; Metazoa; Chordata; Testudines; Emydidae. The transcript has 2 exons. The record is from RefSeq and is a predicted model, not a curated record.
AGCAUGCACUACUUAAAGCUAGUUCUGCAAUCACACCCUGUGAUUGAAGUCUAGACACAUCCUUUGUUGACUGCUGCCGUGGUUCCCUGAUGUACAUUAAUAUAAUCCUGUAUGAUACAGUACUACACUAACACACACUAGAGAACAUGUGUGCACUAACAAGGUCCAUAUGGACCACUUAGUGCACAUCAUACUAGUGGGCACUGGAAUUUUUACACCCCUUUGGUGGUAUCUAAAGCACUGUUCAGACAACAGACCAUUGUAGCUAACUCCCCUUCCAAAGGCCACUUACUUUGUGUAUUUAGGCUUCUAUGGGUAGUUACAGACAGGGAUGUUUUUCAAAUAUGUUAAAGCUAAUUCAUUUUGGUGUGUUCUCAGUCUCCCACACCAAGAAAUAUUUAACACCAAUGUAUGCACACUUAAUUCCUGGCAUAUUUUUUCAGAAGCGUAGAUGCUUUGAACACAAUUUACAACACUCUAUAACAUCAUUCCUAUUGAACAUCUAUGGCAACAAGUUCUCAGUGAAAUAACUGUACUAUUUUGUUCUUCCAGGGCAGUAUUUUUUGUAAACACACCUCCACUACAGACUGAGCUGAAAUUUGUCUCAUUCUCUGAAGAACGUUAUCGAAUGUUCCUGAACAUCAGCAGGAUAUAUAUGCUGCAUGGAGAAAUGGGGUGCAAGGACAGUGGUCUAGGCCUCUCUCCAUCUAGCAAGGAAAGAUCCCAGUUUGAUGCAUUGUUCCCUUACUCCAACCCUAGCAAAGGUAAGAUGGUCAUUUUCAAUACUUCCUUUUUAACCAAAUUACAAAGAAGAGUAUGCACACACCUGUGAUUUAAGAGCACUUUAUUGUUCUUUAAGGCUACUUUUUAAGUACAAAAAAAAAAAGAUGGCCUGCCAAACCUUUUUUUCUUUUCCCCAGGUGAAACAAGGCCACAAAAGAAUGGUAUAUUACAGAUUUACAAACACGGAGAGAAUCUUUCAGACUGAACUGUAGCAGAUAACAUGGCUCUGUGAAGAAACUUCACUAUGCGUUAUUAUGGUGAGUUUACUUUCCCCCCAACCCUUUGGCUUUCAUGACAUAAUUGUGUUGAAUAUAUUUGUUUUUACUGGACAUAUCACAUUAAAUCUUUAUUGCCCCACAUCCAUUUACCUAUCUCAGAUAAGUAAAUGUGACCUUGUAAAACAGCUAUUACUGAAAAUAUUAGCUUUAAAAACAUUUGUGUUUACAAAGAAAUGUAGAAGGAGUCACAUUUUCCACAGAGUCCAUCUACAGUAUUAGUAUUUUACUGUUAUAAUGCUCAGUAGCCUGUAGCAAUAACAAACUAGUGGCUAUUAAUGCUAAUGCAGUGUUCUCAUAGAAUAACUGUGUUCCUGCACUUUUUUAAUGUAUUACAGACAAAUCUA